UCCCAGACUCCUACGGGAGGCAGCAGUAGGGAAUCUUUCACAAUGGGCGAAAGCCUGAUGGAGCAACGCCGCGUGCAGGAUGAAGGCCUUCGGGUUGUAAACUGCUUUUAUAAGCGAGAAAUAUGAUGGUAACUUAUGAAUAAGCAUCGGCUAACUCCGUGCCAGCAGCCGCGGUAAUACGGAGGAUGCGAGCGUUAUCCGGAUUUAUUGGGUUUAAAGGGUGCGUAGGCGGGCUUUUAAGUCAGCGGUAAAAAUUCGGGGCUCAACCCCGUCCGGCCGUUGAAACUGGGGGCCUUGAGUGGGCGAGAAGAAGGCGGAAUGCGUGGUGUAGCGGUGAAAUGCAUAGAUAUCACGCAGAACCCCGAUUGCGAAGGCAGCCUUCCGGCGCCCAACUGACGCUGAAGCACGAAAGCGUGGGUAUCGAACAGGAUUAGAUACCCCAGUA
This 445-nucleotide ribosomal RNA is filed under the name uncultured bacterium. RNAcentral's name for it is "bacterial SSU rRNA". It matches the Rfam family "Bacterial small subunit ribosomal RNA", at positions 329 to 792 of the family's 1533-position model. The record is from RNAcentral.